Molecule: ribosomal RNA, 350 nt
Filed under: Pelobatrachus baluensis (Kinabulu horned frog)
Lineage: Eukaryota; Metazoa; Chordata; Amphibia; Anura; Megophryidae
Description: Megophrys baluensis (Kinabulu horned frog) partial 12S ribosomal RNA
Rfam family: Bacterial small subunit ribosomal RNA
Source: RNAcentral
AGCGUUAGCUUAAAACCCAAAAGACUUGGCGGUGCCCUAUACCUCCUAGAGGAGCCUGUUCUAUAAUCGACAAUCCCCGAUUCACCUCACCACCUCUUGCCAAUUCCGCCUGUAUACCUCCGUCCUAAAUUGACCCCUCAAGGGCAAUAGUCAGUUUAAUGAUUUACCAUCAAUAAGGCAGGUCAAGGUGCAGCGAAUGAGAUGGGAAGCAAUGGGCUACAUUUUCUACCUAUAGACUAUACGGAUAAAUCGUGAUGAAACCUGAUUAGAAGGCGGAUUUAGCAGUAAAAGGAGAUUAGAGUGCUCCUUUUAAGUAGGCUCUAGAGCGCGCACACACCGCCCGUCACCCU